This 441-nucleotide ribosomal RNA is filed under the name uncultured bacterium. RNAcentral describes it as "partial 16S ribosomal RNA". It matches the Rfam family "Bacterial small subunit ribosomal RNA", at positions 338 to 795 of the family's 1533-position model. The record is from RNAcentral.
CCUACGGUGGGCAGCAGUGGGGAAUAUUGCACAAUGGGGGAAACCCUGAUGCAGCGACGCCGCGUGAGUGAAGAAGUAUUUCGGUAUGUAAAGCUCUAUCAGCAGGGAAGAAAAUGACGGUACCUGACUAAGAAGCCCCGGCUAACUACGUGCCAGCAGCCGCGGUAAUACGUAGGGGGCAAGCGUUAUCCGGAUUUACUGGGUGUAAAGGAAGCGGAGGUGGCAUGGUCAGCCAGAAGUGAAAACCCAGGGCUCAACUGUGUGUAUUGCUUUUGGAACUAUCAAGCUAGAGGGCUGGAGGGGUAAGCGGAAUUCCUGGUGUAGCGGUGAAAUGCGUAGAUAUUAGGAGGAACACCGGUGGCGAAGGCGGCUUACCGGACAGAAACUGACACUGAGGAUCGAAAGCGUGGGGAGCAAACAGGAUUAGAUACCCUAGUAGUC